AAGAGGCAUGCAGGGGCCACAGACUCAGGGAAGAAAGGAGGAGCAUUGAUCCUCACUGCUGGUGACCGGGAACUGCCAAACCUCACCGGAGACUUAGCUGCUCUAGGAAGUUUACCCUGGUGCGGCAGGAGAGGGCCAUGCCUGCCUGCCUGCCACCAUGCUGGCCACCAUGAUUGUCAUGGGAUCACCCUCUGAAAAGGCUUCUGUACUUCAAAGGCUAACUGGAAGGCUCUUGCAGGAGGAGGGUAGUACUCCUUUCCCACUGUGCAGGGCUCCGGGCACAAGGAAGACAAGGACCCUGGAGACUUCUGUGGCAGCGCUGGGGGAUAACUUCAGUGACAGGGCUGCCCAGGCCAGGCUCUGACGUCAGACGACUCCGGAGGGUGAUGAGUCAGAAGAUGCAGCUUUGGGGGCUGAUUCUGCCAUGGCUCACAUCUCAUGAGAACGUUGUUGGAUGUCCAUUUCUCAUAGGAAUGAGACGGUGACGUCUAACCUACCUGUCUUGAAGCUUUGAUACAAAGGAUAUACUCCAUAACUCUGAGUGGAGGAAAGAAAGAAGAUGGUGCUGAGGGACGGGCCCAGGGACUCUGCAGACAAUAUUCAUCCUCCCUUCCUUUGGAAUUAAGCCCCACCAUGCCCAUGCAGCUCUGUCCCCACUUGAGCCUGUGCUGGAUGUGACAUCCUGGCAGGAGAAAAGACAUCUGAUAAAGACAUUCCCUUUUACUAUCAAACCAUUGAGUGAACGGCCCCAAGGGAUAGAAAUUUCCCCAGGAGUCUCAUGCUGGUGGGAGGAAAAGGCAGAAGUCUGGUGCCAAAGGAGGAGCUGGUCUCCCUGGAAGAGACAAGCCAUCAGACCGCCUUCCAGGAUCUUGAAGCUGAAACAGUGAUGACUGGGGGCACAUCGUGACCAGACUGGCUUAGAUAGGAACACCUCUUGCUCUCUACUUAAACCUAACCCUCAUGUCAGGACCCUGAAAGACAAAUGUGAGGAAUCCCUAAGCCUCCUUCUUCCUCUUCU
Molecule: non-coding RNA, 1018 nt
Organism: Peromyscus maniculatus bairdii (prairie deer mouse)
Lineage: Eukaryota; Metazoa; Chordata; Mammalia; Rodentia; Cricetidae
Source: RefSeq, a predicted model, not a curated record